This is a long non-coding RNA of Melanotaenia boesemani (Boeseman's rainbowfish), 1682 nucleotides long. RefSeq lists it as uncharacterized. The transcript has 5 exons. Lineage: Eukaryota; Metazoa; Chordata; Actinopteri; Atheriniformes; Melanotaeniidae. The record is from RefSeq and is a predicted model, not a curated record.
GAUGAGAACACUGCCAUAAUCUGAAGCUGAAAGAAAACGUUUUGAAACUUUGAAAGUCAGUGUUUGAAAAUUUAAGACCUGAAAUAAAGUUUUGCAAGUCUGAAAAUAAGUUUUGAAACCUUGAAAAGUAUUUUGAAAGUCUGAAAAAAAACUUUGAAUCUCUGCAAGCAUAAUUUUGUACUUGAAUUUUUAUUUUUCAUAAGUGCAACAUGCAUAUUACAGAGUUUCAGCCUCACAUUUUCAGAGAUUCAAACCUCUUGUUGCAACCUUACAGAUUUCAAGUCUACAUUUUCAGAGUUUCAAAUAUGGCAUUGUUCUCCCACCACAUUAGUUUGCAAAAAACUUUUGAAACCUUGUAAUAUGAGAUCUGAAAACUGCUGUGUGCAUCUUCGCAAAAAAGUUUUGAAACCUUGAAACCUGAGUUUUGAAAUGUUAAAAUCUUCUCCAAACAUAAUUUUGUAAGGAUUAAAUUUUACUUUGAAAUCUGGGCGGAUGAACUUUUCGGAGUUUCGUCUGCACCGCUGCGAGUUGCGAUGAGGUGAUUUAUGGCAGUGUUCUCUCGCUGCUUUGAUUUGAAACUCUGAAACCCACACUCUGAAAAACUAGAAAAAAAAAAAAAGAAAAAAAAAACGGCUCCGGGGGAGGGACAACGCCUCUUCUAACUAAUCGUUUCCCUUGUAAUGUAUUAGUCCAAUCACAUGUAAGAACGCACAGUUCUUGUCACCGUUGCCGGGCGCUGAGACGAAGCUCAAAUCGUGGCACGGCAACUACCGGUUGUGGCCGCGACUUGUCACGGACUGCCAGAGCCUGCCGAAGCGGAUGGCCCGACUCUCCAUAGCCUAACGUUUAUAACCGUAAACAAAUGUCUUUAGGCACAGAAAUGUUGGUGGAUGUAAGCUGCUUCAACCGUGCUGCGGCAGCUCUUUGGAGCACCAGGGAACGGGGGAAGUGCCUGCAACCUGCACCAGGCAUGAUCCAGAUGCAGCAUCCAGCGACUGGACAAGUUGCCGUCAUCGCCGGCUUCUGUUGCUGAGAAGCAGCAAUUCAUCACAGAGCUCAUUCUGCCUGAGGUUAUGAUUCUGUGGUUGAAAAAAAGGCCACAUUUCAGGUGUGAAGCAGAAUGUGUGCUCCUGGAAAGUGCAUCCAAGCAUAGUGAAAGCCCUGCAGAUAAGACUCCAGUUGAAGACACAGAAACUGAACAGGAAAGGAUUUUACUACGUGACAUCAUGGCUGCAGCUGAUCGGUGCCGAACUUUAAGCUUCAGUGGAAGUUGUGUUUCCAGCUGUCUUAAUGAGCAAAGAUGAACAAAAUGAGACACGAAGGCUUUGCAAAGUUGGGAUGAGGAACUUGAUGAGAGUUCUCCAGCAGAUCUCUGAACUUUUAUUUUUGAAAGAAAGCAGGACUAUGAGAUGUUCUGCGUUGAAAUCAUUGCUAAAAAAACUACAAAGUUUUUGCCAGAUUUGAAGAUGAUUAAGAUUGUUCAAUGAUCAUAAUAAAACACAGCAUCUGGCAAACUGGCCAACUCCAGUGGAGAUUACCUACAGACUCUGUCCUUUUUCUUUCUAAAAAUGUUAUUAAAGACAGCACUCUUUCUACAUGCUGUAUCAUCUGUCUUUUAUUUGUCCAGAAUUACCAUAAAGGAGGCCACAGUCAACAAAUCAACUUUUAGUUAAACUGCAACA